This 3330-nucleotide ribosomal RNA is filed under the name Salmo trutta (river trout). Its description in RNAcentral is "eukaryotic LSU rRNA". It matches the Rfam family "Eukaryotic large subunit ribosomal RNA". Lineage: Eukaryota; Metazoa; Chordata; Actinopteri; Salmoniformes; Salmonidae. The record is from RNAcentral.
GUUCACCCGCGCCGAGGGAAGGGAGAGGCGNNNNNNNUGAAAAGAACUUUGAAGAGAGAGUUCAAGAGGGGUGAAACCGUUGAGAGGUAAACGGGUGGGGUCCGCGCAGUCUGCCCGGAGGAUUCAACUCGGCGGGUCAGGGUCGGCCGUUCCGGGGUGGGCGGAUCCCCUCCGGGGGCUGAUGGUCGGGUCCCCCCGUGGGGCUGACCCCGGUCGGGGUCGGCCCCCGCCGGGCGCAUUUCCUCCGUCGGUGGUGCGGCCUCGACCGGCUCUGGGCCGGGGCUUGGAAGGGCUUGGGGCGAAGGUGCUACCGGUUUCGGCCGUGAGCUUUACAGCGCUCCUGCUCCGUACUCGCCGCUUUCCGGGGCCGAGGACUUAGUACCCGCUGCGUCAUGUCCCCCUGCGGGGGGCACGGGCCCCUUUGCCCCCCGGCGCGACUGUCAACCGGUCGGACUGUCUCAGUGCGCACCCAACCGCGUUGCGUCGCCAGGGUUAGAGAUCGGCUCACGUAAACCUGGCGCCGGGGUCAGCGGCGGAUGUCGGCAACCCACCGACCCGUCUUGUAACACGGACCAAGGAGUCUAACGCACGCGCAAGUCAGAGGGUUUUCUCCGAACACACCCCGUGGCGCAAUGAAAGUGAGGGCCGGCGCGCGCGCCGGCCGAGGUGGGAUCCGGCCCCCGGCUGAGGUGGGAUCCCGGCCCUACGGGGUCGGGCGCACCACCGGCCCGUCUCGCCCGCUCUGUCGGGGAGGUGGGCGGUGAGCGCGUGCGAUAGGAACCGGAAAGAUGGUGAACUAUGCCUGGGCAGGGCGAAGCCAGAGGAAACUUCUGGUGGAGGUCAGUAGCGGUCCUACGUGCAAAUCGGUCGUCCGACCUGGGUAUAGGGGCGAAAGACUAAUCGAACACCAUCCUAGUAGCUGGUUUCCUUCCGAAGUUUCCCUCAGGAUAGCUGGGCUCAUGUCUCGCAGUUUUAUCUGGUAAAGCGAAUGAUUGAGGUCUUGGGGCCGAAACGAUCUCAACCUAUUCUCAAACUUUAAAUGGGUAAGAAGCCCGGCUCGCUGGCUUGGAGCCGGGCGUGGGAUGCGACCCGCCUAGUGGGCCACUUUUGGUAAGCAGAACUGGCGCUGCGGGAUGAACCGACGCCGGGUUAAGGCGCCCGAUGCCGACGCUCAUCAGACCCCAGAAAAGGUGUUGGUCGAUAUAGUCAGACGGGGGGUUCCGUUAAGGAGUGUGUAACAACCCACCUGCCGAAUCAACUAGCCCUGGAAAUGGAUGGCGCUGGAGCGUCGGCCCCAUACCCGGCCGUCGCUGGCCCCGAGAGGCUCGAGGGGUAUGCCGCGACGAGGAGGGGGGCCGCCGCGGUGAGCACGGAAGCCUAGGGCGCGGGCCCGGGUGGAGCCGCCGCGGGUGCAGAUCUUGGUGGUAGUAGCAAAAAUUCAAACGCGAGAGCUUUGAAGGCCGAAGUGGAGGGUCCAUGUGAACAGCAGUUGAACAUUGGGUCAGCGGUCCUAAGAGAGGGGCGACCGCCGUUCGGAAGGGAGGGGGCGAUGCCCCCCGUCGCCCCCGGCCGAUCGAAAGGGAGUCGAUUCAGACCCCCGAAUCCGGAGUGGCGGAGAUGGGCGCCGGGCGGGGGGGCCCGGGCGGGAAAGCGGCCGAUCCCGGAGAAGCUGGCGGGAGGCCCCGGGGGGNNNNNNNUGUAAGGGAAGUCGGCAAGUCAGAUCCGUAACUUCGGGAUAAGGAUUGGCGCUCUAAGGGCGGGGCGGGUGGGGCGGGGGUCGAAGGGGGGCGGGCCUGGAGCCGCGGCUGGGGGAAGCAGUUGCUCCCCCCCCCCCCCUUGCCACCGUUGGGAGUUUGCCGUGCCGCGCCCAUCUCGGGGGCUCUCGCUCGUGGUCUCGCAAGGGGCUGCGUGUGGGGGUUUAUCGGGGUGGUGUCCGCCGGUGGGCCGAAGACGGACCGGUGAGGGGUUGGGUCCGGCGUUUGCAGCGACGCUCUGGUCGCGUGCCGGGCCCUUCUCUCUGGAGGCGUGCCGGGCCCCUUCUCGCGGGUCUCCCCGGCUACGGUGCUCGUCGGCCCCGUUAACGCGGUUCUCCGGCGGGUUGCCUCGGCCGGCGCCUAGCAGCUGACUUAGAACUGGUGCGGACCAGGGGAAUCCGACUGGUUUAAUUAAAACAAAGCAUCGCGAAGGCCCAAGGUGGGUGUUGACGGGUGUGAUUUCUGCCCAGUGCUCUGAAUGUCAAUGUGAAGAAAUUCAAUGAAGCGCGGGUAAACGGCGGGAGUAACCAUGACUCUCUUAAGGUAGCCAUUGCCUCGUCAUCUUAAUUAGUGACGUCAUGGAUUGGAUGAACGAGAUCCCACUGUCCCUUCCUCCUAUCUAGCGAAAACUGUCCCUACCUACACCUAGCGAAACCCCAGAGCCAAGGGAACGGGCUUGGCGGAAUCAGCGGGGAAAGAAGAACCCUGUUGAGCUUGACUCUAGUCUGGCACUGUGAAGAGACAUGAGAGGUGAAGAAAACGUGGGCGGCCCCGGCCCGCCGGUGAAAUACCAAUACUCUUAUCGUUUUUUCACUUACCGGGUGAGGCGGGGCGGCGAGCCCCGAGCGGGCUCUCGCUUCUGGCUUCAAGCCCCCGGCUCGCGUCGGGUGCGACCCCCCCCCGGGGCCGGGGCGGGGGGGGGGUGGGUGGGGGGGGACACCCGUCCAACGGGAACGCAGGUGUCCUAAGGCGAGCUCAGGGAGGACAGAAACCUCCCGUGGAGCAGAAGGGCAAAAGCUCGCUUGAUCUUGAUUUUCAGUAGAAUACAGACCGUGGAAAGCGCGGCCUCACGAUCCUUCUGAUUCUUUUGGGUGUUUUAAGCAGGAGGAGUCAGAAAAGUUACUCAGGGAUCACUGGCUUGUGGCGGCCCAGCGUUCUGGCUUGUGGCGGCCAAGCGUUCAUAAGCGACGGCGCUUUGAUCAUCUUCGAGUCGGCUUUCCUAUCAUUGUGAAGCANNNNNNNAAUCCCCCCUAAAUGUGAUGAUACCAUAGUGCCCGGGCUAUACGAUUGUUCCAGGAUAACCGACCCCUCCGGGGGCCGGCGCAGAAAGACAUUUGAUACUGGCUUGGGGUGCGGCCGAAUGAUGGUCGCCCCUCUCCAUGAUCACACCGCAUGUUUAUGAAGGACUGGGUGUUAAACCACUUGCAUACGACCUGAUUCUGGGUCAGGGUGCCAGAACGGGGUGAUUUCCGCCUGCACCAGUCGGAUACGAAUAGGCCUUUGGCCCAGAACCUUACCAGGCCGGCGUUGGCAGUCUCAUUGAAGUUGAGGCUGUUCGCCGGCGUAUUGCAAUUGU